UACGUAGGGGGCGAGCGUUGUCCGGAUUUAUUGGGCGUAAAGAGCGUGUAGGCGGCCGCACAGGUCCGUUGUGAAAACUGGAGGCUUAACCUCCAGACGUCGAUGGAAACCGUGCGGCUAGAGUCCGGAAGAGGAGAAUGGAAUUCCUGGUGUAGCGGUGAAAUGCGCAGAUAUCAGGAAGAACACCCGUGGCUAAGGCGGUUCUCUAGUACGGUACUGACGCUGAGACGCGAAAGCGUGGGGAGCGAACAGG
This 253-nucleotide ribosomal RNA is filed under the name uncultured bacterium. RNAcentral describes it as "partial 16S ribosomal RNA". It matches the Rfam family "Bacterial small subunit ribosomal RNA", at positions 524 to 776 of the family's 1533-position model. The record is from RNAcentral.